GCAAACUUGGUCAUUUAGAGGAAGUAAAAGUCGUAACAAGGUUUCCGUAGGUGAACCUGCGGAAGGAUCAUUAUUGAAAAUAAUUGGUUUGUAUUGUUGCUGGCUUGUGAAAAGCAUGUGCACGUACUCUCCAUUUUUUUUUCUUUAAACCACUUGUGAACUAUUUGUAGGCCUUAGAUCUUUUCAAACCUGUUGUUCAACAGGCGUUUUGGAGUACUGGAUUGCCGGAACGAAUGUGACUGGCUUUUCUGCGCUUGGGUCUAUAUAUUUAUCAAUCAUCCAGCACGUAUAUGAAUGCUAUGAAUGUAAAAACCUUAAUACAACUUUCAACAACGGAUCUCUUGGCUCUCGCAUCGAUGAAGAACGCAGC
RNAcentral lists this unclassified non-coding RNA (370 nucleotides) under uncultured fungus. Its description in RNAcentral is "partial contains small subunit ribosomal RNA, internal transcribed spacer 1, and 5.8S ribosomal RNA". The stretch from base 1 to 73 matches the Rfam family "Eukaryotic small subunit ribosomal RNA", at positions 1759 to 1831 of the family's 1831-position model. The record is from RNAcentral. Lineage: Eukaryota; Fungi.